This is a small nuclear RNA of Lutra lutra (Eurasian river otter), 107 nucleotides long. The record is from RefSeq and is a predicted model, not a curated record. Lineage: Eukaryota; Metazoa; Chordata; Mammalia; Carnivora; Mustelidae.
AUGCCUUUGAGAAAGGUAGCACAUCCACUGAAAUUGUAAUGAUACAGAGAAACAGCAUAGCCCCUGUACAAGAAUGACAACAAAGUUGCAAAGCAUUCCGUAUUUUA